GUGGUAAUGCCGGAUGCUCCAGUUGAUCGCAUGGUCUACUGGGAAAGCUUUCGCGGUAUGGGAUGGGGUCGCGUCCUAUCAGCUUGACGGCGGGGUAACGGCCCACCGUGGCUUCGACGGGUAGCCGGCCUGAGAGGGCGACCGGCCACAUUGGGACUGAGAUACGGCCCAGACUCCUACGGGAGGCAGCAGUGGGGAAUAUUGCACAAUGGGCGCAAGCCUGAUGCAGCGACGCCGCGUGAGGGAUGGAGGCCUUCGGGUUGUAAACCUCUUUUAUCGGGGAGCAAGCGAGAGUGAGUUUACCCGUUGAAUAAGCACCGGCUAACUACGUGCCAGCAGCCGCGGUAAUACGUAGGGUGCAAGCGUUAUCCGGAAUUAUUGGGCGUAAAGGGCUCGUAGGCGGUUCGUCGCGUCCGGUGUGAAAGUCCAUCGCUUAACGGUGGAUCCGCGCCGGGUACGGGCGGGCUUGAGUGCGGUAGGGGAGACUGGAAUUCCCGGUGUAACGGUGGAAUGUGUAGAUAUCGG
RNAcentral lists this ribosomal RNA (525 nucleotides) under Bifidobacterium longum subsp. suillum. RNAcentral describes it as "bacterial SSU rRNA". It matches the Rfam family "Bacterial small subunit ribosomal RNA", at positions 160 to 700 of the family's 1533-position model. The record is from RNAcentral. Lineage: Bacteria; Bacillati; Actinomycetota; Actinomycetes; Bifidobacteriales; Bifidobacteriaceae.